GAUCAUGGCUCAGGAUGAACGCUAGCGACAGGCUUAACACAUGCAAGUCGAGGGGCAGCGCGGGAGUCAGCUUGCUGACUUCUGGCGGCGACCGGCGCACGGGUGAGUAACACGUAUGCAACCUGCCCGCCACAGGGGGAUAACCGGGAGAAAUCCCGACUAAUACCGCGUAGUCCCGGGGAAGGCAUCUUCCCCGGGGGAAAAGAGCGAUCCGGUGGCGGAUGGGCAUGCGGCGCAUUAG
RNAcentral lists this ribosomal RNA (241 nucleotides) under uncultured bacterium. Its description in RNAcentral is "partial 16S ribosomal RNA". It matches the Rfam family "Bacterial small subunit ribosomal RNA", at positions 15 to 244 of the family's 1533-position model. The record is from RNAcentral.